This 253-nucleotide ribosomal RNA is filed under the name uncultured bacterium. RNAcentral describes it as "partial 16S ribosomal RNA". It matches the Rfam family "Bacterial small subunit ribosomal RNA", at positions 524 to 776 of the family's 1533-position model. The record is from RNAcentral.
UACGUAGGGCGCAAGCGUUAUCCGGAAUUAUUGGGCGUAAAGAGCUCGUAGGCGGUUUGUCGCGUCUGCCGUGAAAGUCCGGGGCUCAACUCCGGAUCUGCGGUGGGUACGGGCAGACUAGAGUGAUGUAGGGGAGACUGGAAUUCCUGGUGUAGCGGUGAAAUGCGCAGAUAUCAGGAGGAACACCCGUGGCGAAGGCGGCACUCUGGGACGGUACUGACGCUGAGACGCGAAAGCGUGGGGAGCGAACAGG